GGCCCGCACAAGCGGUGGAGCAUGUGGUUUAAUUCGAAGCAACGCGAAGAACCUUACCAGGUCUUGACAUCCUUUGACCACUCUAGAGAUAGAGCUUCCCCUUCGGGGGCAAAGUGACAGGUGGUGCAUGGUUGUCGUCAGCUCGUGUCGUGAGAUGUUGGGUUAAGUCCCGCAACGAGCGCAACCCUUAUUGUUAGUUGCCAUCAUUCAGUUGGGCACUCUAGCAAGACUGCCGGUGACAAACCGGAGGAAGGUGGGGAUGACGUCAAAUCAUCAUGCCCCUUAUGACCUGGGCUACACACGUGCUACAAUGGGAAGUACAACGAGUCGCGAAGUCGCGAGGCUAAGCUAAUCUCUUAAAGCUUCUCUCAGUUCGGAUUGCAGGCUGCAACUCGCCUGCAUGAAG
This 406-nucleotide ribosomal RNA is filed under the name Enterococcus faecium. RNAcentral's name for it is "bacterial SSU rRNA". It matches the Rfam family "Bacterial small subunit ribosomal RNA", at positions 918 to 1325 of the family's 1533-position model. The record is from RNAcentral. Lineage: Bacteria; Bacillati; Bacillota; Bacilli; Lactobacillales; Enterococcaceae.